This 74-nucleotide transfer RNA is filed under the name Candidatus Latescibacterota bacterium. RNAcentral's name for it is "Latescibacterota bacterium tRNA". It matches the Rfam family "tRNA". From Rfam's summary of the family: Transfer RNA (tRNA) molecules are approximately 80 nucleotides in length. Their secondary structure includes four short double-helical elements and three loops (D, anti-codon, and T loops). Further hydrogen bonds mediate the characteristic L-shaped molecular structure. tRNAs have two regions of fundamental functional importance: the anti-codon, which is responsible for specific mRNA codon recognition, and the 3' end, to which the tRNAs corresponding amino acid is attached (by aminoacyl-tRNA synthetases). tRNAs cope with the degeneracy of the genetic code in two manners: having more than one tRNA (with a specific anti-codon) for a particular amino acid; and 'wobble' base-pairing, i.e. permitting non-standard base-pairing at the 3rd anti-codon position. The record is from Rfam by way of RNAcentral. Lineage: Bacteria; Pseudomonadati; Candidatus Latescibacterota.
CGGGGCGUGGCGCAGAUGGCAAGCGCACCAGCUUGGGGUGCUGGGGGUCGCUGGUUCAAAUCCAGUCGCCCCGA